CCCAGGUACCAACGGAUCCGGCGACAUCCCCAUCGCCAGCCACACAAUCUCCACCGGCGCAGUGGAGCAGCAGCACCACCGUGGCCGUGGACAUGUGAGGGGAUCCCGGGGCUAGUGCGGCCAUGGCCUAGAGCUCGCCCCUUCUCCUGCGUGGGGACGCCAGCUACUGCAGAGCCCAGCUACCAACGGAUCCCGUCGGAUCCCCACCGCCAGGCACGCCACCUCCUGUUGCAGUCCUCCCUCCCUGUUGCAGGCCAGGCGUCCCGGGCUUCAAGUGCGCCGGGGCACGCGAUGCGGUUUGGCGCGCGUGGCCAUGCAGGUGCAUCACCCCCCGCUCCCAACAACCACGAGCAGCAGCGCGUAUGGCAGUGGACACAACCGAGUACCCUUCUCCCCUGCUCCCUUCCCCAGCCAACAUCCAUCGAGGUGUCUGUAAUGUCGUGACGAUGAGUUCAUUCUCUGUUGGCAAGGUAAUGCAUUUUUCAGUAUGGUGUGCAGUUCCAUCAGUGUGGUCGUGCAGCACGCGGGUGUGGGUUUGCAAUCUGGUGCCCAUCUACGUGCAGCCCACGAGGAGGCGACUGGUACUAAAGAUGCUACAUCCAUGAUAGUGAACUGCGGUCAUCCCGAGCCUGCCGCCGAGGAGCCGGCGAGCGUCCCCGCGGCACCACCGCCUACCUGAACCUCGAACCGGGCGACUGCUACGGGGACAGCACCGCCGUCUCCUCCCUCGUGCAAGAAGAGGAUGAGGAUCUCCACACCUGCCCCCAUGUAGUUCACUCGACGCGCCCGUGUGGUGCGGAGCGCAUCUGCGUGCAGUACGCCCGCCAACCAACUCCACAAUGCCCACAGUCCACCCCGUGGUCCAAUGCAAUCCGACGACUCGAUGCAUGCAGCUUGCAUGGUGCGUGUGUGCAGUUUUCAGGCUCGCAGGUGUGUGGUUCUACCAACAACCAACUCCACCGCGGCCCAGCACUCACGCCGUGGAGCUCCUUGUAAUGCCCUGGAUUCGAUGCGCCAGGUGUCCGCCAGUUAUUCGUCGUCAUUGCCAUGUCAUUUGAUUGCGUGUU
Long non-coding RNA from Triticum aestivum (bread wheat), 1067 nucleotides. RefSeq lists it as uncharacterized. The record is from RefSeq and is a predicted model, not a curated record. The transcript has 3 exons. Lineage: Eukaryota; Viridiplantae; Streptophyta; Magnoliopsida; Poales; Poaceae.